CAUGCCCCUUAUAUGCUGGGCUACACACGUGCUACAAUGGGUAGAACAGAGAGUUGCAAAGCCGUGAGGUGAAGCUAAUCUCAGAAAACUAUUCUUAGUUCGGAUUGUACUCUGCAACUCGAGUACAUGAAGUUGGAAUCGCUAGUAAUCGCGAAUCAGCAAUGUCGCGGUGAAUACGUUCUCGGGUCUUGUACACACCGCCCGUCACACCACGAGAGUUGGUUGCACCUGAAGUAGCAGGCCUAACCGUAAGGAGGGAUGCUCCGAGGGUGUGAUUAGCGAUUGGGGUGAAGUCGUAACAAGGUAUCCGUACGGGAACGUGCGGAUGGAUCACCUCCUUUCUAAGGAGUAUAAGUCUUUCUCUAUUCUAUUGGUAAUGUUCUUUACAUUACCUCUGAACAUUGGAAACUAUAUAGUAGAACAAACAAGAAAAAAAUUAACUCUAACAAUUUCUUAGAGUUAGCUGUCAAAAAAUAGGUUAAAAUAAUUAAGGGCACACAAAGGAUGCCUAGGUAGUAAGAGCCGAUGAAGGACGUGGUAAGCUGCGAUAAGCCUAG
This 557-nucleotide small RNA is filed under the name uncultured Fusobacterium sp. RNAcentral describes it as "bacterial SSU rRNA". The stretch from base 1 to 341 matches the Rfam family "Bacterial small subunit ribosomal RNA", at positions 1194 to 1533 of the family's 1533-position model. The record is from RNAcentral. Lineage: Bacteria; Fusobacteriati; Fusobacteriota; Fusobacteriia; Fusobacteriales; Fusobacteriaceae.